Long non-coding RNA from Mus pahari (shrew mouse), 321 nucleotides. RefSeq lists it as uncharacterized. NCBI's taxonomy places the organism in Eukaryota, Metazoa, Chordata, Mammalia, Rodentia, Muridae. The transcript is spliced from 3 exons. The record is from RefSeq and is a predicted model, not a curated record.
UCCGUAGCUACGGGCCCGGUGGAGUCAGCGGUCAGCAGCACAGUGGCGGGCACCGCACCGCAGCCUGGCAGCCCUGGUACCUCCCAGGCAUCAUUUAUUUUCAUUCCAUGAAAAGUUGUGUGUGCUUCCUGAAGACUCUUUCCCAUGUGCAGCUGUCACACUCCUCAGGUAGUUCAGCACACCCUGGAUGCUGAGAGCCCUGGAUGGUGAAGAGAGGAAACUAGCAAAGGAUCCAGGUCUCCUACUGCUCAGUCAGAUCUGCUCACCUGUGAAUCAGAACUAAGAGCCCUGGAUGGUGAAGAGAGGAAACUGUAGCCAAGG